RNAcentral lists this ribosomal RNA (840 nucleotides) under uncultured archaeon. Its description in RNAcentral is "bacterial SSU rRNA". It matches the Rfam family "Archaeal small subunit ribosomal RNA", at positions 21 to 859 of the family's 1478-position model. The record is from RNAcentral.
AGGUUACUGCUAUCGGUGUUCGCCUAAGCCAUGCGAGUCAUAUGUUCUUCGUGAACAUGGCGUACUGCUCAGUAACACGUGGAUAACCUGCCCUUGGGUCCGGCAUAACCCCGGGAAACUGGGAAUAAUUCCGGAUAACGCACAUAUGCUGGAAUGCUUUAUGCGUCAAAUGGAUUCGUCCGCCCAAGGAUGGGUCUGCGGCCUAUCAGGUAGUAGUGGGUGUAAUGUACCUACUAGCCUACGACGGGUACGGGUUGUGAGAGCAAGAGCCCGGAGAUGGAUUCUGAGACAUGAAUCCAGGCCCUACGGGGCGCAGCAGGCGCGAAAACUUUACAAUGCGGGAAACCGUGAUAAGGGGACACCGAGUGCCAGCAUCAUAUGCUGGCUGUCCGGGUGUGUAAAAUACACCUGUUAGCAAGGGCCGGGCAAGACCGGUGCCAGCCGCCGCGGUAACACCGGCGGCCCGAGUGGUGAUCGUAAUUAUUGGGUCUAAAGGGUCCGUAGCCGGUUUGGUCAGUCCUCCGGGAAAUCUGACGGCUUAACCGUUAGGCUUUCGGGGGAUACUGCCAGACUUGGAACCGGGAGAGGUAAGAGGUACUACAGGGGUAGGAGUGAAAUCUUGUAAUCCCUGUGGGACCACCUGUGGCGAAGGCGUCUUACCAGAACGGGUUCGACGGUGAGGGACGAAAGCUGGGGGCACGAACCGGAUUAGAUACCCGGGUAGUCCCAGCCGUAAACGAUGCUCGCUAGGUGUCAGGCAUGGCGCGACCGUGUCUGGUGCCGCAGGGAAGCCGUGAAGCGAGCCACCUGGGGAAGUACGGCCGCAAGGCUGAAACUUAA